This 790-nucleotide long non-coding RNA is filed under the name Homo sapiens (human). RNAcentral describes it as "HSALNT0268427". The record is from RNAcentral. Lineage: Eukaryota; Metazoa; Chordata; Mammalia; Primates; Hominidae.
GUUCCCUGGGAAACAGACUCAGAGAGCUGGGCACGCAGGUGGUUUACUGGGGAGUGCUCUCACGCACAGCACCUGUGAAGGGGGUAGAGUGGUGUGGGGGGCAGUGAUGUGGGGCUGGAAUGCAGGCACACCAGAGGCCUCACCAGAGCUCAGAGGUGGCCUGCCCCUAUGGAGGAGGCAGUCUUAGGCAAGGCGAUUCUCCUUGGCUGAAGGCGAAUCCUGGAGCCUCUGUCCUGAAGGAGAAUCCAGGUGGCAGACUACAAUCUCCACUGAAGUCCACUCCUCUUCACUUCCACCGCCUGGAGCCAACCCAUCACCUCUCAUCUGGAUGCAGCCUUAAGAUCCUCCCCAGAGCUCAGCAUUCAUGCUUGGCCCUUCACCAACAGAGUCCAAUCUGCACCAGGAACCCAAAGCCACAGGAGGUCUCCCAGCACAGAAAUCAGAUCACUUCACUUCACUGCUUGAAACCCUCAAAUGGCCUCCCAGAACAAAACACACUCAGAAUAAAAUCCUGAGUGAUCCCUGCCUCUGCCUAUGACCUCUCCCUUCACUGUGCUUCAGCCCUUUCUCUCUCUCUCUCUUUUAUAACAAUCCAUCAUGACGUUCAAUGUUCUCUUUUUCUUGAGACAGCAGCUGUGUUCCACCGCAGGGCCUUUGCUCUUGUUGUUCCCGCUGCCUGACGUUCUCUUCCCUCAGAUCUUCCCAUGGCUGACUCUACGUCCUUCAAGUUUCAUCUGACACGUCACCUCCUCAGAGGGAUAUUCCCUGGUUAUCCGAUCUAAAGUGGUUC